GCCAAACUUUCAGAAUGACUCUUUCACAAAUGAACUGUAUGCAACUUUGCAAACACCUGCUCUGCACAGAAGGAAUUAUUUUGAUACCCAAUUUGAAGCUUCAAAAGUCAGGAUGUGUCUACAUAAACAGGUGUGGAUGAGUGCGUGUGCUUUGCAUAUUCUCAAAGGCAGGUGGAAGAGGAGCACAUCUGCCUGCACACAGCUGGGCUACUUAUUCUUAGAUGUGUUCAAACCAUCUCCUUUCUCUUUUCUCCUCCAAAGAAGGCUGAUCAAAUCACUCAGUCAAUGCUAGGAAAAUGAAGACUGGGUACCAGGGAUGAGAGCCCAGCAAGAGAAUCUGAGCAAUCCCAGGACUGACAGCCUCACAGCUUGGGAAUACAGGGACCAGGGAACACCCCACCCUGAUAUCAGUGGUACGACAGUUACAGCUACUGCAAAUAUCAAGGCAUUGCUGAGCUGCAGACACAGCUGCAUCAUGUUUCAGUAUCACACAGUUGUAGACAGGAAGAUUGAUCUGCGAUUUUCUGGUUUUCUGAGGGUUUACUGCAGCUGGAAUUCUGUCAAGAAAGAUAUUAGCCUGGACUUAUUUCUGUUCAGCAAGGGGAGGAAUUAGGGAGAUCUUUUUAUUUUGCCUGCUGACUUGAAGAAGCAUCCGGAAAUAUAUUUCCGUUUCAGUUUCUGCUCAUCGGGAGGAGGAUGAGAGGGGAAAGGGAAGAAAAGGCAAACAACUCCCCAUGUGUAUUUCCUGGUAGUGUUGCCUGAACUGGUACAUGUCAAGCCCAGAAAUACAGAAGACAGAGUACACCAGAACUGCCUACAAACUAUCACCUUUACCACUUUUCCAGCAGCAUUGCCAACGUUACAUUUCUCUGCCCAGAAUGUUCCUGAGCCACCAAGACUGGGAAAACCUGUGGGAAAAGUAAAGAAAGCCCAAGCUACCUUAUUUGCCCACAACAGUCCUUAUGGGCAGCACCUGUAUGUGUGCCUCUCCUCCUCCUUCCCCUGCCCUGAGACGCUGAGGGUUGGUGCUCAUGGGUCUGCAGGGACCUACUGAAUGGGCACUGCAGAGAAACUUCUGGGUGUGGGAUAAAUGCAGACUGUUCAGAGAAGAUCCCUCCUGGUACAGAUUUCAGAAAGUAUGCUUUCUUCAUCAGUAAACAAUGAGUCAUUGGCUGUCACAAGGGAGAAAAUGAGAUUACAAAGGAUGUAUAAGUAAAUAAAUUAGUUCCCGUUAGUCAUGGCAACAGCUUAGUGUUUCCACCCAAGUGUUUUAUUCCAAUUCAUCUUUCUGUCUUUAUUUUUGUAAUAUUGUUACUCUUUUACUUUGGAGAAUAAAAUUCUAAUAAGAUUCUCUUGGAAAUACAGAUUUUAAAAAUGCAGUUCUUGUGUUAGACUACUUUUGAGGACACAGUCUUUAUUUUUUGACACUUAUGUUCAGGGAUGGAGCUGUGGGCAAAGAAAUGAAGUUGUACCAUCCUCUGCCCUGAUGCUGCUGCAGGUCUUUCAUGUGACAUUUGUCACUUGACCUGCAAAAGGAGCUUUCACCAUACAGGCAUCUGUUGCUCAGCUCCCUGCCCCAAAUAUGGGUGCAUUACACUCUGUUUUACAGAUGCCAUCCAAUAGACCUCUGGAGGUUUGCUGACCCCUGUCCCCAGGCACUGAUGUCAGAAUACUGUGAUCCAAAGAACUGUGUCUCUCUGGGAAAAUGUCUGUUUUAAAACAUGCUUCUGCUCCAGUCCUUUCCUUUACAUCUGCAUCUCAGAGUAGUUGCUGAAAACUUCUUGUGUUUUCCCCAGAUCCUGCAAAGAUGGAAAUCUUGCAGAAGAGCUGUGUUUUCUUCCUUGGUUUAAAUUUUUUUUUUUCAAAUACCUUGUUUUGCUAUAGAUGUUAAAUAGUCUACAAAUUAUAUAAGAUGUUCUAAAUAUGUGUGCUUAUUACAACUCCUAUAAUCUCAGUCCAUACCAAAAGUGUGCCCUCCAAAGUAGGGGAAGUUGGAAAUUGUCAGAGUCACAUCUUGGUUUAAAUGUCACAGUUCUCAUCUAUAGGCAAAAGUGGUUGUUACUGUUUUCACUAAGAUAUGAAAAAGACUUCAGAAACUAUUCCAGAGAACUGAAUUACUUAAGUAUUACCAUUAUUCACAGAUUUCCCCAAAACUACUUUCUGACUGGUUUUGUCUCUUAUUAUAAGAUGUAGGAGGAAUUUAGGGAGAUGGCGCAUUUUCUGGUACAUUCUUCAAUACAUGAAACAAAGAAAAUCACUUCUUUUAAAAUAUUACCAAAAAGCAUGUCUCUCCCUCUCUGAGUACAAGUGUUUUUAUAUCUGCAGAUGUGUUAAAUAUAUCUCUUCUAAUUGUAAAAUUCACUUCAAGCUAUAAAGGUGACGGCACUGUCUUGGGGCAGCUGCUCGGGAGUGACUUGGGAGCCACUCAGCAGGACUACAGAAAAAUGCUCAUUGGCAGCAUCAGCAAUAGAAAUCUCUUCAUACUAUGAAUGAAUCAGUUUGACUUGGUUUGAAUUUUUCGGUCAGUGGACCAAAAUUGUACCUGGACCUUUAGUUCCACUGUGUUUCCUGUAUCUUCAAUGACAGUACUUUAUGGCCUUUAUUGUCUUCUUGUCUAAAGACAUUUAAUAGCCAUUACCCAGCAGAGGUGAUGACUGAGGGAAGGAGAGGAGGGAAAGCAGUGUGGAAGGGGCUUUAGCCCCUGUAUGCACCAGCAGGUGCUGCAAGGUUUGUGAAUGUAUCAGGUAGACAGCCUGGAGCCACCUCUUCCCUGCUGUUUAUACAAGGACUCUUCUUAUUCCUGGUCUUGCAAACAUGUUUAGGCUGCAAUAAAUUGAAACUUCCCAGUCAAAUUCUCAAGGCUCUCAAAACUUGGAGAUAAUGUUUCUAAAAAUUUAAAAUAGGGGACUUCACAGAUUAUUCAUGCAGUCAACUUGAAAGGUUGUGGGAUUUGUUCCAGUACAGCAGAGAAUUUUUUCAUUAUUGGUGGUAGCAAUAAUCAUAAGCUGAGGCCUGUGAUUCAGUUUAUGGUGGUCUUAAUUUAUGAUGGAAGACUUUAUUUUUAACAACAAAAGUGAGUGGAUAACAAAAUUCUGCUAAAGGUAAUUAACUCCACAGAUGCAGGGCUGAAGGCUGCCCUAAAGAGUGAAAAAAACCCCAAACAAAUCUAUAUGGGUGAUGGAUUUUAUCCUCUUUCUUUUCAGCAGGUUAACUUUAAAGUAUCUUUUUUAAAAUUGACAGUCUUAAUGAAACAAUUUAAAUACUACAAAACUAUGUUUAGUUCCACUUAUUGAUGUUGUCAAGGUCAUUUCUACGUGAAACCUGAACAAGAACAGGUCAGGUGGAGCAAUGUGUGGGUGAAAGCACUUCCUCUACACAAAGUAUAGCAAGACAGAUUGUAUGUAAACAAAUACUGAUUCAUUGUCUUGUCUUUGAAUGAAAAGGACAAAUUUGUUUCUAAAUUAUCCAUCUUCACUUCUGACUGGAGAACUGAUUCUCUGAUGCUGGACUGAAUAAAUCACAGCUUGUGCUCUGUUAUUUUGACUUCUGCUUUUAUUUAGAGGGUUUUUUUCUUUCAAGAAUGGAAA
Long non-coding RNA from Corvus hawaiiensis (hawaiian crow), 3587 nucleotides. RefSeq lists it as uncharacterized. The record is from RefSeq and is a predicted model, not a curated record. NCBI's taxonomy places the organism in Eukaryota, Metazoa, Chordata, Aves, Passeriformes, Corvidae. The transcript is spliced from 4 exons.